CAAGAACUGCUGCUUCACAAUCAGAGUAAAAUGUUUUUUACCUAUUGGGUUUACAUGAAGAGAUCUCAAAAAGCCUAACGCCAUCCUUUGAAGACAGCAGGCUACAAAAACUACAGUGACCAUUUGCAUCUAUCUCUGGGGUGAACUUCUGCACUCUGAUCGACGGUGGAAAGGAAGAUACUGUUCUAAUAAUGGCGGAAAGAAGACUUGCAAGCAGUUACCAGUUUCAAAGCAGAACGAUUUCUUCACAAUCAAAGAUGACAGUGCAACACACAGUGGUUAGGACCAGCCAUGUGAGAGUGUCUCAUCAGCAGAGAUCUGUGGCGGUUUUGAGCAGCAGCAGCAGCAGCAGCAGCAGCAAUAGCAGCAACAGCAGCAGCAGCAGCAGGCCAUCACCAACGACAAUAUUCAUAAACUCAGAAACAAUCAGCAGUUUCCAAGGAAAGCCUAACAUUGAGGAAGAGAUUAAAAAGAUGAAAGAGAAGUUGUCUGAAUUCUCAAGCAGGCCAGGGUUUUAAACAAUCUGCUUCCACAAACACCAAUUGAUCAAGUCUGCCUAAAAAGUGGAUCAGACAGCUGCAGCUGAUCCAG
Long non-coding RNA from Fundulus heteroclitus (mummichog), 591 nucleotides. RefSeq lists it as uncharacterized. The transcript is spliced from 5 exons. NCBI's taxonomy places the organism in Eukaryota, Metazoa, Chordata, Actinopteri, Cyprinodontiformes, Fundulidae. The record is from RefSeq and is a predicted model, not a curated record.